Molecule: ribosomal RNA, 518 nt
Filed under: uncultured bacterium
Lineage: Bacteria
Description: bacterial SSU rRNA
Rfam family: Bacterial small subunit ribosomal RNA
Source: RNAcentral
AGAGUUUGAUUAUGGCUCAGGAUGAACGCUAGCUACAGGCUUAACACAUGCAAGUCGAGGGGCAGCAUUGGAGUAGCAAUACUUCAGAUGGCGACCGGCGCACGGGUGAGUAACACGUAUCCAACCUGCCGCUUACUCGGGGAUAGCCUUUCGAAAGAAAGAUUAAUACCCGAUGGUAUAAAGAGUUCGCAUGUUCUCUUUAUUAAAGAAUUUCGGUAAGCGAUGGGGAUGCGUUCCAUUAGAUAGUUGGCGGGGUAACGGCCCACCAAGUCUACGAUGGAUAGGGGUUCUGAGAGGAAGGUCCCCCACAUUGGAACUGAGACACGGUCCAAACUCCUACGGGAGGCAGCAGUGAGGAAUAUUGGUCAAUGGACGAGAGUCUGAACCAGCCAAGUAGCGUGAAGGAUGACUGCCCUAUGGGUUGUAAACUUCUUCUAUAAGGGAAUAAAGUGAGGGACGUGUCCCUUUUUGUAUGUACCUUAUGAAUAAGGAUCGGCUAACUCCGUGCCAGCCGCUGC